AGAAAAAAAAAGAAGGCAAGCCCACAGCGGGGGUGAGCAUGCGCACCGGGGAGACGGGGCUCGCUCGUGCCGGGGUAGCCCCUGCGAGCCCACAGCGCCGCCUGGGGACCGGAGGCCGUCGACCCACGGCCCCUCCUGGCUUGCUUCAUUCUUCCCUGUUGUAAUUGGAAUUUACUUACAUGGCGGAGAACAUGGUCACUUGGAAGUUCUGUCAGAAUAAUCCCAAGGAGAUACCUAGACCAGUCUGGCUUGGUAGCAUGAUCAUUUCUGGAUCGCAUCUACAUCCUCAAAUUAGAGCACAAAUACUGCUCUGCUAAAUGGAGUGGGGAUUAAAAGGAAUGAGUGACCAAGGACUAAUUUAGCUUGGGGGCAUGGAAGAACGGUGAUGGUGAUGCUAUUUACCCAAAGUGGAGAGAGGGAACACAAGCAGGGGGAGUGGAAGAGGGAGAAGCAGGCUUCCGCCGAGCAGGGAGCCUGAUGCGGGGCUCGAUCCCAGGACCCUGGGAUCAUGACCUGAGCCGAAGUCAGACACUUAACGACUGAGCCACCCAGGCGCCCCUCCCCAGAGAUGAAAUUCCCAAUCUUCUACCUUGCAGUUGUCUACUUGGAAACUGCUGUUCUGGGGACAGAAAAUACAGGAACAACCCAGAUACCCAUGAUUGGACACUAUGGACACACUGUGGUACAACCAUACCAUGGAGUAUGAUGCAGCAGCCAUCAAAAAGAUGAUGAAGAUCUCUGUGAACUGAUAUGGAAUCAUUUGCAGCAUAUAUUGCUCUAUAAAAGGCCCAGAAGUAAUGAUACUCCAGUAGUCAUGAGCACACCUGACACUUAGUUCUGGAGGGAACUGAAAUACCAUUUCCCACUCAAAGAAACCAGGGCUUCUUGCAGACAUGGCUGGCUCCAGCUCUGGAAAAGGGAAAGUAAAAUGUGAUAUGGAGACAUCUCUUUUGUUUGAUUAAACCUGUUGCAACCUAUUGAUGAAAGUAUUCAAUGUUACAUGAAAAUAAUUUCAGGAGGCAUAUUUCCAUGACUAAGAAUAUGUGGGUGUGGGUGUGUCUCAUAUCUCACGGACAAUCUUACGAACAAUCACACAUACAAUGUGUUUACAAACAGACCCCCAAUAUUUUUCAAUCUACAAAAACUCAUGUGGAGAACCACUCUUUUUCAGAGUCUGCAGACUGUCUUAUCCAUUGAUGUGCUUGCAGUGCAUCCUUUAUUUGUACCCCCUCCUCCAACUCCAGACCUCAGUAAUGGUUUUCUUUGAUAACCAAGGCAAUAGAUUUCUUAAAUGAGGGGAUCAGAAAUUCUAAUUCUCCAGUCACCUGGGUAGCUAAUGCUUUAAUCUGCAUAAAAACUGUAUUAAAAUUCACUUCACAUAGGCAGGAGGAAAAAAGGAGAUGACAUCAGAGGUGCUUUGCUAAAGAUCAGAGGAACUGCAGCUGUGGCCUCCCCAUUCAUCAGGUGGCACAUUUAUCCAGUUCUGCCACUUCUGUGAUAAGAGUAGACUUUAUAAAGAUGGCUCCCUUACAAGGUUUAGAACAGUCAACAAAAGCUGUCAGACUGACUUUUGAAAAAUGGGACUUAGGUCACUAGAAAAUUCUUGAAGGUUAUAUUCAAUCAAAUCCUACUGAAAAAUCUGCUUCCUACUUUUUUUACUAAAGGGUUCUUGGUGGGUAUUGUCCCUAUCGCUAAUGUAUUCCCCCCCCCCCCAAAUUGGCAAACAGACCAGAUCAACUGGACAUCAAAUACUUGAGGACUUAAGUAUAUUUUAACCUUCUGUUUAUGGAACUUUUGCUUAAUGAUGAAUCUUCUUGUUAAUAUUUAAAACAAUUGGGUUUUACUGACUUUAUAAAAAUGGAAAUUGGAAAGUAUCUGUCAUCAGUAAACUAAAUGUUUUAUUCAAAUUCUAGUAUAAUUUAUUUUUGUGAAAAGGUUAUUUACUAAGUCAUUUUUAAAAAGACUUAUUUUAGAUAGAGACACACACAGAAACAGAGACAGAGUGGGGAG
This is an RNA transcript of Mirounga angustirostris (Northern elephant seal), 2010 nucleotides long. It is a transcript of the gene named XK related 9, with no coding region annotated. The record is from RefSeq and is a predicted model, not a curated record. NCBI's taxonomy places the organism in Eukaryota, Metazoa, Chordata, Mammalia, Carnivora, Phocidae. The transcript has 7 exons.